This 253-nucleotide ribosomal RNA is filed under the name uncultured bacterium. RNAcentral describes it as "partial 16S ribosomal RNA". It matches the Rfam family "Bacterial small subunit ribosomal RNA", at positions 524 to 776 of the family's 1533-position model. The record is from RNAcentral.
UACGUAGGGGGCAAGCGUUGUCCGGAUUUAUUGGGCGUAAAGAGCGUGUAGGCGGCCACACAGGUCUGCUGUGAAAACUCGAGGCUCAACCUCGAGCUGUCGGUGGAAACCGUGUGGCUAGAGUCCGGAAGAGGAGAGUGGAAUUCCCGGUGUAGCGGUGAAAUGCGUAGAGAUCGGGAGGAACAUCUGUGGCGAAGGCGGCCACCUGGACCAGCACUGACACUGAGGCACGAAAGCGUGGGGAGCAAACAGG